This 420-nucleotide ribosomal RNA is filed under the name uncultured bacterium. RNAcentral describes it as "bacterial SSU rRNA". It matches the Rfam family "Bacterial small subunit ribosomal RNA", at positions 28 to 498 of the family's 1533-position model. The record is from RNAcentral.
GAUGAACGCUGGCGGUCUGCUUAACACAUGCAAGUCGAACGAACUCUUCGGAGUGAGUGGCGGACGGGUGAGUAACGCGUGAGAAUCUGCCUGUGGGUCGGGGACAACCACUGGAAACGGUGGCUAAUACCGGAUGAGCCGAAAGGUAAAGAUUUAUUGCCCACAGAUGAGCUCGCGUCUGAUUAGCUAGUUGGUAAGGUAAAAGCGUACCAAGGCGACGAUCAGUAGCUGGUCUGAGAGGAUGAGCAGCCACACUGGGACUGAGACACGGCCCAGACUCCUACGGGAGGCAGCAGUGGGAAUUUUCCGCAAUGGGCGAAAGCCUGACGGAGCAAGACCGCGUGGGGGAGGAAGGCUCUAGGGUUGUAAACCCUUUCUUUGGGAAGAACAAAUGACGGUACCAAGGAAUCAGCCUCGGCU